Molecule: ribosomal RNA, 254 nt
Filed under: uncultured bacterium
Lineage: Bacteria
Description: partial 16S ribosomal RNA
Rfam family: Bacterial small subunit ribosomal RNA
Source: RNAcentral
GACGUAGGGCGCGAGCGUUGUCCGGAUUUAUUGGGCGUAAAGAGCUCGUAGGCGGUUCGACAAGUCGGGUGUGAAAACUCCGGGCUCAACCCGGAGACGCCACCCGAUACUGUCGUGACUGGAGUCCGGUAGGGGAGUGGGGAAUUCCUGGUGUAGCGGUGAAAUGCGCAGAUAUCAGGAGGAACACCGGUGGCGAAGGCGGCAUCCUGGACCAACACUGACGCUGAGGAGCGAAAGCCAGGGGAGCAAACGGG